GACGAACGCUGGCGGCGUGCUUAACACAUGCAAGUCGAACGGAAAGGCCCUGCUUUUGUGGGGUGCUCGAGUGGCGAACGGGUGAGUAACACGUGAGUAACCUGCCCUUGAUUUUGGGAUAACUUCAGGAAACUGGGGCUAAUACCGGAUAGGAGCUCCUGCUGCAUGGUGUGGGUUGGAAAGUUUCGGCGGUUGGGGAUGGACUCGCGGCUUAUCAGCUUGUUGGUGGGGUAGUGGCUUACCAAGGCUUUGACGGGUAGCCGGCCUGAGAGGGUGACCGGCCACAUGGGGACUGGGAUACGGCCCAGACUCCUACGGGAGGCAGGAGUGGGGAAUAUUGCACAAUGGGCGGAAGCCGGAUGCAGCAACGCCGCGUGCGGGAUGACGGCCUUCGGGUGGUAAACCGCUUUCGCCUGUGACGAAGCGUGAGUGACGGUAAUGGGUAAAGAAGCACCGGCUAACUACGU
RNAcentral lists this ribosomal RNA (467 nucleotides) under uncultured bacterium. Its description in RNAcentral is "partial 16S ribosomal RNA". It matches the Rfam family "Bacterial small subunit ribosomal RNA", at positions 28 to 506 of the family's 1533-position model. The record is from RNAcentral.